AGAAAGAAAGAAAGAAAGAAAAAAAUCCAAAAAUAGAUACAUCUAUAGAUACCAAGAGAUAUAAAGACAAGCAACAGUAAAACGACAAUGCAGAUACAUGAAUUACCUUCUACUCUACACCCAAAAGGAAGAAACAAUGUGGAUGAAAUUGAAGGGUCUGGAAGAAGAAGGCUAACUUGAAAUGCAGGGCUUAUUAGGAAGAGAGGCUACUAGAAAACAACAAAACAAUAAUACUAAAUGAUUUGCAUGGCGGCAAUAUGGUUUUGAUAUUGGUUUGUUCAAAGUUCAAACAGAAAUUCAAAAGGAGGCCAUAUAGAAUUCAAGAAUAAUGGCUUGCUUAAAAGCAAAUUAAGCGUGUGCAAUGGUGCUUUAGCUGAUGAUGGUACAUGAUAUUGUUGGUUGACUGACUUUAUCAUUAUCUCUUAAUCAGAAUUAUAAAUCCUAAUAAAAUCAAAUUCUACCAACAAUAAUUGAGCUCUGAGCCAUUUUGUUCCAAGGGACAAAUGCAUCCCAUCUCCAUAACAACUUUCUUCCAAACUACAAACGCUAGAAGUGUUUCAGAAAUAACUAGAUAAAUAAAAUACGCUAAUUAAAAAAAAAAAACCUGAUCAUCAUCCUUGAUCCCAAA
This 628-nucleotide unclassified non-coding RNA is filed under the name Hevea brasiliensis (rubber tree). The record is from RNAcentral. Lineage: Eukaryota; Viridiplantae; Streptophyta; Magnoliopsida; Malpighiales; Euphorbiaceae.